RNAcentral lists this ribosomal RNA (472 nucleotides) under uncultured bacterium. Its description in RNAcentral is "bacterial SSU rRNA". It matches the Rfam family "Bacterial small subunit ribosomal RNA", at positions 355 to 825 of the family's 1533-position model. The record is from RNAcentral.
UGGGGAAUUUUGGACAAUGGGGGCAACCCUGAUCCAGCCAUUCCGCGUGAGUGAAGAAGGCCUUCGGGUUGUAAAGCUCUUUCGGACGGAACGAAACGGUUAGCGUGAAUAGCGCUGACUAAUGACGGUACCGUAAGAAGAAGCACCGGCUAACUACGUGCCAGCAGCCGCGGUAAUACGUAGGGUGCGAGCGUUAAUCGGAAUUACUGGGCGUAAAGCGUGCGCAGGCGGCGGCACAAGUCAGGUGUGAAAUCCCCGGGCUUAACCUGGGAAUUGCGCUUGAAACUAGGUCGCUUGAGUGUGGCAGAGGGGGGUGGAAUUCCACGUGUAGCAGUGAAAUGCGUAGAGAUGUGGAGGAACACCGAUGGCGAAGGCAGCCCCCUGGGUCAACACUGACGCUCAUGCACGAAAGCGUGGGGAGCAAACAGGAUUAGAUACCCACGUAGUCCCUGAGCGGGCUGGCAAGGCGCAU